Molecule: long non-coding RNA, 1826 nt
Organism: Manis javanica (Malayan pangolin)
Lineage: Eukaryota; Metazoa; Chordata; Mammalia; Pholidota; Manidae
Source: RefSeq, a predicted model, not a curated record
AAGAGAAGCUGGGGACCCAGGCUCAGGAGAGGACAGGGGCGCAGGCAGGCCCAGCAACUGGGGACACAGCCGUCCCUGGAGGGUCCAUCGCCAUACUGCUGCCAGCAGCUCUGGAGGGACCAGUUCUAAUUGCAAAUAGACAAGUACAGCAAACACAGCCCAAUGAGGAUGCAGCAACCCUCAGGCGAGCCUGGGCCCCACCAAGCCAGCAGUGAGGCCUGCAGAAACACUGGCUGCAGGAGGACCCAUGGGACGGAGACGAAGGAGAUGGUGUGGAUACGACGGCAGUGGAGUGGGGCCUCUGGGAGGCUGUGUGUUCUUCGGUCACAUCCUCUCACAACUGCCGGUGGCUUCUUACUCAGUUACAGAGAGAGACUCGUCAGCGUUGCCUCUGCAUAAAGCUACACGGGACACCACAGCCUCCUCUCCUUCCUUGUGCCCACCUGUGAGGAGUCCCGGGGUCUUGUCUUGGUUCACCCAGAGGCUUCAGAGAUGGACGUGAGGCCAUGGCUUGAGGUCAGUCUUGAAAACGGCCAAGUGCAGCCGGAAGUUGUUUCUUCAGGCAUUUCUCAAUGUUAUCACUUCGCUGUUGGUGUUUGAGAAGCCUAGCUUCUUUCUAAUCCUGCAAGUUCCUGAAUUUGUUAACUUUCCAUUCCCUUUCAUCCCCGCUUGUGAACCAGAUGAUUAUUUUUUGAGCUCAUCUUUUUCUUGUAAUAUCUUUCCCACAGAAUCCAACAGCAGCCAACACACGCUACUAGCCAGUUUCCAACUACUUCCCCUAGAGUUACGGUUUCCUUUGGUGUAAGAUCGGCCUCCCACAGAUUUGCAGGUGACAGUUUCACUAAAUGACUCACACUCCCUCCAGGAGGGACCGUCUUCCUGCCUCUGAUGAUAGUUUCCUGGCUGCCCUCCUGCAGGCCCUUCUGCCAGCAGGUUACAUGGCCGGGGUCGCUGGGGACUGUCAGGGGCUCUGCCCCACCCCUAAGCCAGACUUACAGAGCAGAGGGAAGAGCCCUCUGGAAGGAAGGCCACGCUCAGGCAGCGACAUGCUCCAGCCCAGAAGGUGCGCGGUCACCCCCACCUGCAGCACGCUGUGUGAGCAAGCAGGGGGCUGGCAGUGCCCUUGCUGCAUAUGUUUGGAAGGGGCACAAUGUGGAAAUAUUUGGCAGAAAACACUAAUGACUACUACAGAGGACCAGCGAGUCAGGAGGGUGUUCAGGGACUCGAGGGGGGACAAAUGCAGUAUGAGCCUGCUUGCCAUGGCAUCCAGGGAGGGGACAAGCCAAGGUGGGCUUGCCCAGGUGGUCAGGAGAGAACACAUCCUGUUUUCUGGCCCGGCCCCUGCGCUGCUAUUGCUGACUGUGCACGGUGGCAUCUGUGGCAGUGACUCAGCUCUCUGGGCUUGAGUGAACCUUGGCAUACACCUGGUCGUGUACCUGAAAGUCUACAGUUCCCUCCGCUGCCCCCUGAGGGUCCUAAUUCUGGGCACAGGGCCUGGAUUUUUGCUCCGGCUUGACUUGGGGCCCGAGAAGCGCUGACUCAUCACGGCUCCCCAUGCUGCCUUUGCAAAUGGUCUGGGAGGCUUUGGAGGAGAGCUGGGCCAGCCCUGGAGGGUGUCAUCAACACGAUCACAUUGCUGCUGAAUUGAAAGCUCCCCGAUGGUUCCUGGUCCUGAUCAUCACCCCCACCCGCCCCACAGGCUCCUCUGAGUCAUCAGCACUGGGAUGGUUUCCUUGCAUGUCAUAUCAUUUGGAGGCAUCAAUUUAUCAUUUCCCCUACUUGGUAUUCUAGAGACCUUCAUUUUUCAUUUCAUACUGCAGUUUCUA